This 484-nucleotide ribosomal RNA is filed under the name uncultured bacterium. RNAcentral's name for it is "partial 16S ribosomal RNA". It matches the Rfam family "Bacterial small subunit ribosomal RNA", at positions 30 to 507 of the family's 1533-position model. The record is from RNAcentral.
AUUGAACGCUGGCGGCAGGCCUAACACAUGCAAGUCGAGCGGAUGAAGGGAGCUUGCUCCUGGAUUCAGCGGCGGACGGGUGAGUAAUGCCUAGGAAUCUGCCUGGUAGUGGGGGAUAACGUCCGGAAACGGGCGCCAAUACCGCAUACGUCCUGAGGUAGAAAGUGGGGGAUCUUCGGACCUCACGCUAUCAGAUGAGCCUAGGUCGGAUUAGCUAGUUGGUGGGGUAAAGGCCUACCAAGGCGACGAUCCGUAACUGGUCUGAGAGGAUGAUCAGUCACACUGGAACUGAGACACGGUCCAGACUCCUACGGGAGGCAGCAGUGGGGAAUAUUGGACAAUGGGCGAAAGCCUGAUCCAGCCAUGCCGCGUGUGUGAAGAAGGUCUUCGGAUUGUAAAGCACUUUAAGUUGGGAGGAAGGGCAGUAAGUUAAUACCUUGCUGUUUUGACGUUACCAACAGAAUAAGCACCGGCUAACUUCGUG